Molecule: long non-coding RNA, 363 nt
Organism: Mya arenaria
Lineage: Eukaryota; Metazoa; Mollusca; Bivalvia; Myida; Myidae
Exons: 3
Source: RefSeq, a predicted model, not a curated record
CCAGAAUGUCUGAACCUUCUGAUAUCAUUCCACGCUAACAAUAAGGACUUGUGUUCAGAGCCGAAAAUGCAACACUUCUGAAACGACUCCUGUGGGUUGUGUCCAACAACUACCGCUGCUCCCACCACGCCACACCCUUGUACCCCUAAUCCUUGUCAGAACGGGGGAACGUGUUCAAUCGGAACCGGAAACGGAAACGGAAGUGUGUUCAUUUGUACCUGCCGGAUAGGCUUCUCGGGAGACAUGUGUGACAGAGUUGACCUGUGCUUCUACCAGCCCUGUAAACACGGUACGUGCAGUCUACUGCCGGUCCAGGGAUUCAGCUGUACCUGCGAUCCAGGAUUUACAGGCAUCAUUUGUGAC